This 372-nucleotide ribosomal RNA is filed under the name uncultured organism. Its description in RNAcentral is "bacterial SSU rRNA". It matches the Rfam family "Bacterial small subunit ribosomal RNA", at positions 526 to 896 of the family's 1533-position model. The record is from RNAcentral.
CGUAGGUGGCGAGCGUUGUCCGGAUUUACUGGGUGUAAAGGGCGUGUAGGCGGGGAAACAAGUCAGAUGUGAAAUUCCGGGGCUCAACCCCGGCGCUGCAUCUGAAACUGUAUCUCUUGAGUGCUGGAGAGGAAAGCGGAAUUCCUAGUGUAGCGGUGAAAUGCGUAGAUAUUAGGAGGAACACCAGUGGCGAAGGCGGCUUUCUGGACAGUAACUGACGCUGAGGCGCGAAAGCGUGGGGAGCAAACAGGAUUAGAUACCCUGGUAGUCCACGCUGUAAACGAUGGAUACUAGGUGUAGGAGGUAUCGACCCCUUCUGUGCCGGAGUUAACACAAUAAGUAUCCCACCUGGGGAGUACGGCCGCAAGGUUG